This 1131-nucleotide long non-coding RNA is filed under the name Homo sapiens (human). RNAcentral describes it as "HSALNT0193330". Lineage: Eukaryota; Metazoa; Chordata; Mammalia; Primates; Hominidae. The record is from RNAcentral.
AAGAGUCAUCCAGGUGAUAAGGGUCAUCUCUAUGAAUAGCUUUCUUCCUGGAACUGACUGGACUUCACAACCAAUUUUGGGCUAGUGUGGAGAGAUCAGCUGUGAGAAACAUCCAUUGAUUUGCUCAGGCUGCCCUUUGUAUCUUAAUGCUUCAGGUUUUGUUAUCCUGCGCCUUUCUUCUGUCUUCUUUCCUCAUAAGUUUUUUAGAUACAAUUUUAUUGCCAAUAAUUAAAGAGUGAGAAUGAGCGGCAAUGGGCUGGUAUGGUUGCAUUCAAACUCCAAAGUUCACAUUUUGGAAUAUUGAUUUUUGCUUGAGAACAACUUACCUAAAAACCAUGGGAAUUUGGCAGGGAGGGAUGUGAUGGGGCAUAUGUUGAGUUCUUUCAAGGAAUUUAACUUUCAUUUCUGAAGAAGUAAAAACUGUGGCAUGGUGUUCUCUUUCUUUUGUCUUCCUUCCCCCAAAGUUAAAGAGUUUGCAGUUGUUUGAGAGCCCUUCCAAUUGCAUUCUUUCACAGCCGUCUCCUUUCAUCCCCAUCUCAAACUCAGUGUUUUGGGGGGAUUCAGGCAUCAGUCUACAGUUAGAACAAAACAACUAACAUAGCUAGAAAUCAUCUUGAAAAGCUAAAAAUAGUGUAGGAAAGAAUAAAUCUUUUCUCACCCAUAGCUAGGUUCAUAAAUGAGGUCCCUAUAACAAAACACAGAUUGACAAGAGAGAAGCAUACAAAUUUACUUAAUAUAAGUUUUAUGUGACACAGGAGCUUUCAGAAAUGAAGACCCAAAGAAACAGGGAUAUGUGUGUAUUUUUAUGCUUAGGGUUGAUGAAGAGCAGACAGUUCUGCAGAAGUAUGAUUGGACAAAAGGUUAUGAUAACUGCAGGAAACUUAGGAAGUCCUGUUUGUUCAGGUUCUUCUUUGUAUCCUUGUGUCUUCAGAGAUAAGGACAUUCCUUUCUUCCAGGUUUGGGUGAGUGCCUCUGGAAUGAAGGUCUUAUAACCCGCUUCACGGAGGAAAGUUGAGGGGAAGGUAAAGUGACCUUCCUGCUUCUGAGAUUUUCUGAAGGUACCAUAUGUUGGGGUGGUGUUUCCCGAACCCCAUCGAAAGGAAGGUAGGUCAAAGCAAUUUUGGAGUAAAC